This 727-nucleotide ribosomal RNA is filed under the name Salmonella enterica. RNAcentral's name for it is "partial 23S ribosomal RNA". It matches the Rfam family "Bacterial large subunit ribosomal RNA", at positions 1 to 668 of the family's 2925-position model. Lineage: Bacteria; Pseudomonadati; Pseudomonadota; Gammaproteobacteria; Enterobacterales; Enterobacteriaceae. The record is from RNAcentral.
GGUUAAGCGACUAAGCGUACACGGUGGAUGCCCUGGCAGUCAGAGGCGAUGAAGGGCGUGCUAAUCUGCGAUAAGCGCCGGUAAGGUGAUAUGAACCGUUAUAACCGGCGAUACCCGAAUGGGGAAACCCAGUGUGAUUCGUCACACUAUCAUUAACUGAAUCCAUAGGUUAAUGAGGCGAACCGGGGGAACUGAAACAUCUAAGUACCCCGAGGAAAAGAAAUCAACCGAGAUUCCCCCAGUAGCGGCGAGCGAACGGGGAGGAGCCCAGAGCCUGAAUCAGCAUGUGUGUUAGUGGAAGCGUCUGGAAAGGCGCGCGAUACAGGGUGACAGCCCCGUACACAAAAGCGCAUGUGCUGUGAGCUCGAUGAGUAGGGCGGGACACGUGGUAUCCUGUCUGAAUAUGGGGGGACCAUCCUCCAAGGCUAAAUACUCCUGACUGACCGAUAGUGAACCAGUACCGUGAGGGAAAGGCGAAAAGAACCCCGGCGAGGGGAGUGAAAAAGAACCUGAAACCGUGUACGUACAAGCAGUGGGAGCCCCACCACUAAGCCAGUGGUGAACUCCACAUACGCAUCCUUUGCUGAAGGCAAUGGUUAACGGAGCGAAAGCGACGUUCAACCGCAAAACAAGCAGAGGGGGCUUAGUGGUGGGGUGACUGCGUACCUUUUGUAUAAUGGGUCAGCGACUUAUAUUCUGUAGCAAGGUUAACCGAAUAGGGGAGCCG